RNAcentral lists this ribosomal RNA (478 nucleotides) under uncultured bacterium. RNAcentral describes it as "partial 16S ribosomal RNA". It matches the Rfam family "Bacterial small subunit ribosomal RNA", at positions 28 to 523 of the family's 1533-position model. The record is from RNAcentral.
GACGAACGCUGGCGGCGUGCUUAACACAUGCAAGUCGAACGGUAAGGCCCUUCGGGGUACACGAGUGGCGAACGGGUGAGUAACACGUGGGUGAUCUGCCCUGCACUUCGGGAUAAGCCUGGGAAACUGGGACUAAUACCGGAUAGGACCACUGCCUGCAUGGGUGGUGGUGGAAAGCUUUUGCGGUGUGGGAUGGGCCCGCGGCCUAUCAGCUUGUUGGUGGGGUGAUGGCCUACCAAGGCGACGACGGGUAGCCGGCCUGAGAGGGUGACCGGCCACACGGGGACUGAGAUACGGCCCAGACUCCUACGGGAGGCAGCAGUGGGGAAUAUUGCACAAUGGGCGCAAGCCUGAUGCAGCGACGCCGCGUGAGGGUUGACGGCCUUCGGGUUGUAAACCUCUUUCAGCACCGACGAAGCGCAAGUGACGGUAGGUGCAGAAGAAGGACCGGCCAACUACGUGCCAGCAGCCGCGGUAA